AGAGUUUGAUCCUGGCUCAGGAUGAACGCUGGCGGCGUGCCUAAGGUAUGCAAGUCGACCGUGUACCAUCUGGUACACGGGGCAGACGGCUGAGUAACACGUGAGAACUUACCUUUAACUCGGAAACAAUCCUGUGAAAACGGGGCUAAUGUCCGAUAGUCCCUGUGCCGUACGGUACAGGGUAAAGCUUCGGUGGUUAGAGAAAGGCUCGCGUCCUAUCAGGUAGUUGGUGGGGUAAUAGCCUACCAAGCCUACGACGGGUAGCUGGUCUGAGAGGAUGGUCAGCCAGACUGGGACUGAAACACGGCCCAGACUCCUACGGGAGGCAGCAAUUAGGAAUCUUGCGCAAUGGGGGGAACCCUGACGCAGCGACGCCGCGUGGUGGAUGAAUGCCUUCGGGUUGUAAACACCUUUUGUAAGGGAUAAACACUGAUAGUACCUUACGAAUAAGUGCCCGCUAACUAUGUGCCAGAAGCGUCGGUGAUACAUAGGGCACAAGCGUUAUCCGGAAUUACUGGGCGUAAAGAGAUGCGUAGGUGUUUAUGUAAGUUACUUGUUAAAUCUCUCUACUUAAUGGAGAAAAUGCAAGUAAUACUGCGUAAAUUGAGACAGAAAGAGGAGAGGGGAAUUCCUGGAGGAGCGGUGAAAUGCGUUGAUAUCAGGAGGAACACCAAGUGCGAAGGCACCUCUCUGGUUCUGUUCUGACACUAAGGCUCGAAAGCGUGGGUAGCAAAACGGAUUAGAUACCCUGGUAGU
RNAcentral lists this ribosomal RNA (756 nucleotides) under uncultured bacterium. RNAcentral's name for it is "bacterial SSU rRNA". It matches the Rfam family "Bacterial small subunit ribosomal RNA", at positions 8 to 794 of the family's 1533-position model. The record is from RNAcentral.